Long non-coding RNA from Aegilops tauschii subsp. strangulata, 936 nucleotides. RefSeq lists it as uncharacterized. The record is from RefSeq and is a predicted model, not a curated record. Lineage: Eukaryota; Viridiplantae; Streptophyta; Magnoliopsida; Poales; Poaceae.
GAACGAUAUGGUUAAAUAAUAAACUGACUUGGAAGAAGCAACAGAACUUAUUAUGGACAAAGAGAGAUGCACAAUUUUUCUAAUCUGUUUAUUAUUGGUCGUUUCAUGCAUCGUUUAGGGUAAAAAAUUCCUAGAACAUGAGUUUGUCCUUGCAUAAUUAUCCAUGCUUGAUGGCACUACAUCGUAUCAGCAUACUUUAAGUUUGUCCUUGUAUUAUCAUGUAUUCAGGGGCAAAAAUGCCCAGAACAAAGAAAUGAUGAAUUGUAUUGUAGUCAUUCUUGUAGUUAAAUAUUAUGUUUAAAAUUGAUCAUCACUUGGGAUGUUGCCAACUGCAGGGUCGAUGAGACAUUGAAUUGCCAUAUUGCUUUUCCCUCUUAUUGACAUGUUAAGAAUAUAUCUUUAACAAUAGAAUUUAAUAUUUGUGCUUUCAGGUAGUAAGAGACAUGAUCAGAUCGCUGACCAGUGAUGAAGGCGUUAUGUGGUCGUUGACGUCAUGCUAAAUGUUGGUGUAGUGCCAAAUAAGAAGAUACGGAACAAAAUCCCUAAGCUAGACAUUAUGCGUGGAUGUAGGUGGAUGUGGGCGCUGUGGCCGCCACCAAGGAUGUAGGGGUCGCGCCCCAAGCUGCAAGUACGUGGUAGGGCGUCAAAACUGACGAGGACACGGGAGCUGCACUGCAGCAUGAGUGUUUUUCAUAAUUUAUUUAGUGGUGAAAUUUUCAGGCCUAUGAACUGGAUGAUAUUUUCAUUGCUGGCAAUCUUCAUCAACCUAUCUACGAGGACAUUGAUAUACUAAUUGCUGCACAAGUGUUCUCAGCACCGGCUAGCAAGAAGAGAGUAUGAUUGUUCAAUGCUCACUGUUGUAAGCUUGUUUCACGAGGAGCUUCUCAGUGUUGUACAUGUAGGGUGUGGAUAAUAUAAAUAAAAUCUAUUUGUUCA